AGGACGAACGCUGGCGGUGUGCUUCACACAUGCAAGUCGAACGAGGUAGCAAUACCUAGUGGCGGACGGUGAGUAACGCGUGGGAAUCUGCCUUGAGAGUGGGGAUAACGAGCCGAAAGGCUCGCUAAUACCGCAUAUGCCGAAAGGUGAAAGGAGUAAUCCGUCUUAAGAUGAGCCCGCGUCCGAUUAGCUAGUUGUGGGGUAAAGGCCUACCAAGGCGACGAUCGGUAGCUGGUCUGAGAGGAUGAUCAGCCACAAUGGGACUGAGACACGGCCCAUACUCCUACGGGAGGCAGCAGUGGGGAAUUUUACGCAAUGGGGGAAACCCUGACGUAGCGACACCGCGUGAGCGAAGAAGCCCUUUGGGGUGUAAAGCUCUGUCAGCUGGAACGAAAAAAAUGACGGUACCAGCAGAGGAAGCAUCGGCUAACUACGUG
Molecule: ribosomal RNA, 437 nt
Filed under: uncultured bacterium
Lineage: Bacteria
Description: bacterial SSU rRNA
Rfam family: Bacterial small subunit ribosomal RNA
Source: RNAcentral